UAUCAGAGGGGUAGCCGUGUUGGUCUGGAUCUGUCAAAGCGGCAAAGAGUCCUGUGGCACCUUAUAGACUAACAGACGUAUUGGAGCAUAAGUUUUUGUGCGUGAAAACCCACUUCGUUAGAUGCACGUAGUGGAGCUUUCCAGAGUCAAG
Molecule: long non-coding RNA, 151 nt
Organism: Chelonia mydas (Green sea turtle)
Lineage: Eukaryota; Metazoa; Chordata; Testudines; Cheloniidae
Exons: 3
Source: RefSeq, a predicted model, not a curated record